Molecule: ribosomal RNA, 931 nt
Filed under: uncultured Aequorivita sp.
Lineage: Bacteria; Pseudomonadati; Bacteroidota; Flavobacteriia; Flavobacteriales; Flavobacteriaceae
Description: bacterial SSU rRNA
Rfam family: Bacterial small subunit ribosomal RNA
Source: RNAcentral
AGAGUUUGAUCAUGGCUCAGGAUGAACGCUAGCGGCAGGCCUAACACAUGCAAGUCGAGGGGUAGAGGGUGCUUGCACCCUUGAGACCGGCGCACGGGUGCGUAACGCGUAUGCAACCUACCUAUUGCAGGGGAAUAGCCCAGGGAAACUUGGAUUAAUGCCCCAUAGUCCAUAUUGAGAGCAUUCGAUAUAUGGUAAAGAUUUAUCGGCAAUAGAUGGGCAUGCGUCCCAUUAGCUAGUUGGUAUGGUAACGGCAUACCAAGGCAACGAUGGGUAGGGGCCCUGAGAGGGGGAUCCCCCACACUGGUACUGAGACACGGACCAGACUCCUACGGGAGGCAGCAGUGAGGAAUAUUGGACAAUGGGCGGGAGCCUGAUCCAGCCAUGCCGCGUGCAGGAAGACUGCCCUAUGGGUUGUAAACUGCUUUUUUACGGGAAGAAACACCCCCACGUGUGGGGGCUUGACGGUACCGUACGAAUAAGGACCGGCUAACUCCGUGCCAGCAGCCGCGGUAAUACGGAGGGUCCGAGCGUUAUCCGGAAUCAUUGGGUUUAAAGGGUCCGUAGGCGGGCGUCUAAGUCAGUGGUGAAAUCUCGCGGCUCAACCGUGAAAUUGCCAUUGAUACUGGUCGCCUUGAAUUAGUGUGAAGUGGCUAGAAUAUGUAGUGUAGCGGUGAAAUGCUUAGAUAUUACAUAGAAUACCGAUUGCGAAGGCAGGUCACUAACACUAUAUUGACGCUGAUGGACGAAAGCGUGGGGAGCGAACAGGAUUAGAUACCCUGGUAGUCCACGCCGUAAACGAUGGAUACUAGCUGUCCGGCCUGCAUUGGUAGGCUGGGUGGCCAAGCGAAAGUGAUAAGUAUCCCACCUGGGGAGUACGUUCGCAAGAAUGAAACUCAAGGAAUUGACGGGGGCCCGCACAAGCGGUGGA